GCAGUGAUGGCCGAGUGGGUUAAGGUCUCUGACUAGAAGUCAGAUGGGAUCCUCCCGCGUAGGUUCGAAUCCUACUCACUGGC
This is a non-coding RNA of Penaeus vannamei (Pacific white shrimp), 83 nucleotides long. NCBI's taxonomy places the organism in Eukaryota, Metazoa, Arthropoda, Malacostraca, Decapoda, Penaeidae. The record is from the annotation of a RefSeq genome assembly.